RNAcentral lists this ribosomal RNA (465 nucleotides) under Vreelandella stevensii. RNAcentral describes it as "partial 16S ribosomal RNA". It matches the Rfam family "Bacterial small subunit ribosomal RNA", at positions 338 to 795 of the family's 1533-position model. Lineage: Bacteria; Pseudomonadati; Pseudomonadota; Gammaproteobacteria; Oceanospirillales; Halomonadaceae. The record is from RNAcentral.
CCUACGGGUGGCAGCAGUGGGGAAUAUUGGACAAUGGGGGCAACCCUGAUCCAGCCAUGCCGCGUGUGUGAAGAAGGCCCUCGGGUUGUAAAGCACUUUCAGUGAGGAAGAACGCCUGGUGGUUAAUACCCAUCAGGAAAGACAUCACUCACAGAAGAAGCACCGGCUAACUCCGUGCCAGCAGCCGCGGUAAUACGGAGGGUGCGAGCGUUAAUCGGAAUUACUGGGCGUAAAGCGCGCGUAGGUGGCUUGAUAAACCGGUUGUGAAAGCCCCGGGCUCAACCUGGGAACGGCAUCCGGAACUGUCAAGCUAGAGUGCAGGAGAGGAAGGUAGAAUUCCCGGUGUAGCGGUGAAAUGCGUAGAGAUCGGGAGGAAUACCAGUGGCGAAGGCGGCCUUCUGGACUGACACUGACACUGAGGUGCGAAAGCGUGGGUAGCAAACAGGAUUAGAUACCCGAGUAGUC